UACGAAGGGAGCUAGCGUUGUUCGGAAUUACUGGGCGUAAAGGGCGCGUAGGCGGCUUUGUAAGUCAGAUGUGAAAGCCCCGGGCUUAACCUGGGAACUGCAUUUGAUACUGCGAGGCUAGAGGAUGAGAGAGGAAAGUGGAAUUACGAGUGUAGAGGUGAAAUUCGUAGAUAUUCGUAAGAACACCAGUGGCGAAGGCGGCUUUCUGGCUCAUAACUGACGCUAAGGCGCGAAAGCGUGGGGAGCAAACAGG
Molecule: ribosomal RNA, 253 nt
Filed under: uncultured bacterium
Lineage: Bacteria
Description: partial 16S ribosomal RNA
Rfam family: Bacterial small subunit ribosomal RNA
Source: RNAcentral